RNAcentral lists this ribosomal RNA (441 nucleotides) under uncultured bacterium. Its description in RNAcentral is "partial 16S ribosomal RNA". It matches the Rfam family "Bacterial small subunit ribosomal RNA", at positions 338 to 795 of the family's 1533-position model. The record is from RNAcentral.
CCUACGGGAGGCUGCAGUGGGGAAUAUUGGGCAAUGGGCGCAAGCCUGACCCAGCAACGCCGCGUGAAGGAUGAAGGUUUUCGGAUUGUAAACUUCUGUCGCGAGGGACGAAGAAUGCCGUUACCUCGUAAUAAAGCCCCGGCUAACUACGUGCCAGCAGCCGCGGUUAUCCGUAGGGGGCAAGCGUUGUCCGGAAAGACGGGGGGUAAAGGGAGGGAGGGCGGGUAAGAAAGUUAGGUGUGAAUUCCCGGGGCGUAACCGCGGAACUGCAUCUAAAACUGGUAGGCUGGAGUGCGGGAGAGGUAGGUGGAAUUCCUAGUGUAGCGGUGGAAUGCGUAGAUAUUAGGAGGAACACCAGAGGCGAAGGCGACUCACUGGACUGUAACUGACGCUGAUGCGCGAAAGCGUGGGGAGCAAACAGGAUUAGAUACCCGAGUAGUC